This 253-nucleotide ribosomal RNA is filed under the name uncultured bacterium. RNAcentral's name for it is "partial 16S ribosomal RNA". It matches the Rfam family "Bacterial small subunit ribosomal RNA", at positions 524 to 776 of the family's 1533-position model. The record is from RNAcentral.
UACGGGGGGGGCAAGCGUUGUUCGGAAUUACUGGGCGUAAAGCGCAUGUAGGCGGCAACGCAAGUCGGGCGUGAAAUCCCACGGCUCAACCGUGGAAGUGCACUCGAAACUGCGUAGCUAGAGUCCUGGAGAGGAAGGUGGAAUGCUUGGUGUAGAGGUGAAAUUCGUAGAUAUCAAGCGGAACACCGGUGGCGAAGGCGGCCUUCUGGACAGUGACUGACGCUGAGAUGCGAAAGCGUGGGGAGCAAACAGG